GUAGUCUGCCAUACGCAGGAAGACCCGCUGAACUGAAGCAUCUCAUUAAGCGGAGGAAAAGAAACUAACUAGGAUUCCCUUAGUAAAGGCGAUCGAAAAGGGAACAGCCCAACGUCUUAAUCCCGCAAGGGAAAUGUAGUCGGUUCACCUAUUGCACUGGUCUAAGUCAGAUGGAAUGCUGCGCGAUUCAGAGUAAAAGCCUCGUAUGACCAACCGCAAGCUUACGAUGGACCGGGGAGAGUCGGAUACUUUGAGAGUAGUGUCUUAAGGGGGUGGUAUGUCCCAUCCAAGGCUAAAUAACGUGAGGAGACCGAUAGAUUACAAGUAGUGUGAACGAAAGAUGAAAAGAACUCUAAAACAGAGGGUGAAAAGUUCCUGAACUUGCUUAGGGUUAAGGCUAUUUAUAGUACCCGUCUUGAAACACGGAUUAGGGAGUUUAUCUGUAGUGCGAGUCUUUGCACGUUAACUGUAAAGGCGUAGAGAAAGCAACUGGCGUUUGCAUGGCUACUGAGCAUUACUGAUAGGACCCGAAAGGUGGUGAACUUUGCCUGCACAGGUUGAAGUCAGGGGAAACUCUGAUGGAGGACCGUACGGGUUAUUGAUGUGCAAAUCAUUUUUCUGAUGUAGGUAAAGGUGCGAAAGACUCAUCGAACCACCUAAUAGCUGGUUUCCUCCGAAGUUUCCCUCAUGAUAGCUGUAAUGCAUUUAGUUAUGGGAGUAGAGAUAUGGGUAGAGGUGCAGGAGCCUUAUGUUCUCAACUUAUUUCCAACUUCAACCUCCUUGUUAGGCAUUUACCUAACUGGAAUGCUUAAUGAAUUAGCGU
This is a non-coding RNA of Trichomonas vaginalis G3, 823 nucleotides long. Lineage: Eukaryota; Parabasalia; Trichomonadida; Trichomonadidae. The record is from Rfam.